RNAcentral lists this microRNA precursor (76 nucleotides) under Vombatus ursinus (common wombat). RNAcentral's name for it is "miRNA (ENSVURG00010016511.1)". It matches the Rfam family "mir-15 microRNA precursor family", at positions 10 to 85 of the family's 88-position model. From Rfam's summary of the family: This family represents the related mir-15a and mir-15b sequences. In humans miR-15a and miR-16 are clustered within 0.5 kb at 13q14. Lineage: Eukaryota; Metazoa; Chordata; Mammalia; Diprotodontia; Vombatidae. The record is from RNAcentral.
UGCUAUAGCAGCACAUCAUGGUUUACAUAUUAUUGACAAGAUGCGAAUCAUUAUUUGCUGCUUUAGAAAUUUAAGG